GCACUAUUGAGGAGUCCUAUAAUAGAACGAAACAGCUGUCCAGUAC
Schistosoma mattheei is the source of this 46-nucleotide non-coding RNA. Lineage: Eukaryota; Metazoa; Platyhelminthes; Trematoda; Strigeidida; Schistosomatidae. The record is from Rfam.